Molecule: ribosomal RNA, 427 nt
Filed under: uncultured prokaryote
Description: bacterial SSU rRNA
Rfam family: Bacterial small subunit ribosomal RNA
Source: RNAcentral
UGGGGAAUAUUGCACAAUGGGGGAAACCCUGAUGCAGCCAUGCCGCGUGUGUGAAGAAGGCCUUCGGGUUGUAAAGCACUUUCAGCGAGGAGGAAAGGGUGAUGCCUAAUACGUAUCAACUGUGACGUUACUCGCAGAAGAAGCACCGGCUAACUCCGUGCCAGCAGCCGCGGUAAUACGGAGGGUGCAAGCGUUAAUCGGAAUUACUGGGCGUAAAGCGCACGCAGGCGGUUGGUUAAGUUAGAUGUGAAAGCCCCGGGCGCAACCUGGGAAUUGCAUUUAAAACUGUCCAGCUAGAGUCUUGUAGAGGGGGGUAGAAUUCCAGGUGUAGCGGUGAAAUGCGUAGAGAUCUGGAGGAAUACCGGUGGCGAAGGCGGCCCCCUGGACAAAGACUGACGCUCAGGUGCGAAAGCGUGGGGAGCAAACA